AGUGAACGCUGGCGGUAGGCCUAACACAUGCAAGUCGAACGGCAGCACAGUAAGAGCUUGCUCUUACGGGUGGCGAGUGGCGGACGGGUGAGGAAUACAUCGGCAUCUACUUUUUCGUGGGGGAUAACGUAGGGAAACUUACGCUACUACCGCAUACGACCUACGGGUGAAAGCAGGGGAUCUUCGGACCUUGCGCGAUUGAAUGAGCCGAUGUCGGAUUAGCUAGUGGUCGGGGUAAAGGCCCACCAGGGCAACGUGCCGUAGCUGGCCUGAGGGGAUGACCAGCCACACUGGACCUGAGAAACGGCCCAACCCCCUACGGGAGGCACAGGUGGGGAUUUUUGGACAAGGGGCGCAAGCCUGCGCCAGCCAUACCGCGUGGGUGAAGAAGGCCUUCGGGUGGUAAAGCCCUUUUGUUGGGAAAGAAAAGCAGCAGGUUAAUACCCCGCUGUUCUGACGGUACCCAAAGAAUAGGCACCGGCUACCUCCGG
This 491-nucleotide ribosomal RNA is filed under the name uncultured bacterium. RNAcentral's name for it is "partial 16S ribosomal RNA". It matches the Rfam family "Bacterial small subunit ribosomal RNA", at positions 29 to 506 of the family's 1533-position model. The record is from RNAcentral.